CGGUUGAUCCUGCCGGAGGUCACUGCUAUCUUGGUUCGAUUAAGCCAUGCGAGUCGAGAGGGUUCGGCCCUCGGCGUACUGCUCAGUAACACGUGGAUAACCUGCCCUAGGGAAGGGGAUAAUCCCGGGAAACUGGGGAUAAUACCCUAUAGGUUACAGAUGCUGGAAUGCUCUGUAAUCAAAAGUUCCGGCGCCCUAGGAUGGAUCUGCGGCCGAUUAGGUUGUUGUUGGGGUAAUGGCCCAACAAGCCAGUAAUCGGUACGGGUUGUGGGAGCAAGAGCCCGGAGUUGGAUUCUGAGACACGAAUCCAGGCCCUACGGGGCGCAGCAGGCGCGAAAACUUUACAAUGCGGGCAACCGUGAUAAGGGAACCUCGAGUGCCUGUAAAUGCAGGCUGUUCAGAUGCCUAAAACACAUCUGGAGAAAGGGCCGGGCAAGACCGGUGCCAGCCGCCGCGGUAAUACCGGCGGCUCGAGUGGUGGCCACUUUUAUUGGGCUUAAAGCGUUCGUAGCUGGGUUGUUAAGUCUCUUGGGAAAUCUGGCGGCUUAACCGUCAGGCGUCUAAGGGAUACUGGCAAUCUUGGAACCGGGAGAGGUGAGGGGUACUUCGGGGGUAGGAGUGAAAAUCCUGUAAUCCUCGAGGGACCACCUGUGGCGAAGGCGCCUCACCA
Molecule: ribosomal RNA, 670 nt
Filed under: uncultured archaeon
Lineage: Archaea
Description: bacterial SSU rRNA
Rfam family: Archaeal small subunit ribosomal RNA
Source: RNAcentral